UACGAAGGGUGCAAACGUUGCUCGGAAUCAUUGGGCGUAAAGCGCACGUAGGCGGCGCAGUAAGUCGGACGUGAAAUCCCUCGGCUCAACCGAGGACGUGCAUCCGAAACUACUGUGCUCGAGUAUGGGAGAGGGAUGCGGAAUUCCAGGUGUAGCGGUGAAAUGCGUAGAUAUCUGGAGGAACACCGGUGGCGAAGGCGGCAUCCUGGACCAAUUCUGACGCUGAGGAGCGAAAGCGUGGGGAGCGAACAGG
Molecule: ribosomal RNA, 253 nt
Filed under: uncultured bacterium
Lineage: Bacteria
Description: partial 16S ribosomal RNA
Rfam family: Bacterial small subunit ribosomal RNA
Source: RNAcentral